GUGUACGGUGUGGCGACGGGUCGCCACGCUAUACUGAGUAGAGUGUACGGUGUGGCUUCUCACUCAGUUCGACGUUGUUGUUUACUACGGUACACAUAACCUGCGUUUUAUUUAAUUUUGAUGUGAAACAUUUUUAUUUUAAUUUUUGACAAUAAAAUAUGUGUGAUAGUGAUAACUCAGAAGAUCAAAGUGAUCAACCUUGUGCAAAGAAAGUGAAACUACACUAUGGCAUACUACCAAGUCCUCAUUCCCAACAAUCAUCACAGGGAUCACAAAAUAUUAUUAUUGAAACUGGACGCCACCCUGAUCAGUUAAACACAAGGCAUAUUAUCAAUGUUGUGUAAGACUUUAUUAAUCGAAUAGUACCAGACUAUUUUAAUUUUUAUCUUAGAUCUGGCCGCUGGAGUGGCCAUUUACAAAAACAACAACACUUCACAUGUUACUACACUCAACAUGGAUCUAGCAGUUCAAAAUGCUACAGAAGUUCAUGUUUCCCAAACAUCUAUUGGUG
Molecule: long non-coding RNA, 511 nt
Organism: Cotesia glomerata
Lineage: Eukaryota; Metazoa; Arthropoda; Insecta; Hymenoptera; Braconidae
Exons: 3
Source: RefSeq, a predicted model, not a curated record